RNAcentral lists this ribosomal RNA (251 nucleotides) under uncultured bacterium. RNAcentral describes it as "partial 16S ribosomal RNA". It matches the Rfam family "Bacterial small subunit ribosomal RNA", at positions 526 to 776 of the family's 1533-position model. The record is from RNAcentral.
UACGGGGGGCAAGCGUUGUUCGGAAUUACUGGGCGUAAAGGGCUCGUAGGCGGCCAACUAAGUCGGAUGUGAAAUCCCCAGGCUCAACCUGGGAACUGCAUCCGAUACUGGAUGGCUUGAAUUCGGGAGAGGGAUGCAGAAUUCCAGGUGUAGCGGUGAAAUGCGUAGAUAUCAGGAGGAACAUCGAUGGCGAAGGCAGCCCCUUGGACCUGUACUGACGCUCAUGCACGAAAGCGUGGGGAGCAAACAGG